UCGGGAUUGACGUAAUCUCGUAAGACUUAAUAGUUCCUUUGAUAUUCCUUGAUAUGGUAACAGCUGUACGGGCAUUUGGACACCUGCCAGAAUUAAAGGGUCCAAAUACUGUGUCCAGGCCACUUAACUACUGGACAAUUAUGCCUACUGACAGAACUUUCUGGGACAUCAGAACUCUCCCAAAUACAGGAUGCUUGGCAACCCUAGAUAUAUUAUCAGGCAGUACUGAAACAAAUGGACCAAUUCAACAACUACAAAAUUGCUAAAAGCAAGAUAUAACAAAAGCCAAAAGUUUUGUCCUGUGAAUACCUAUCAUUACAGCGCCAGUCAUGUGGAUGGUUGACUUUGUACCGAAGAUGGUACACACACCAGCCAGACCAUAGUGAAAAUGAAGUAGUUAAGAAUGAAGAACUAACCCUGAACUCAUCUCCAGGGUGUCCUUCAUCACAGCAUUCCUCUCCCUCUUUCUUCCUUUUGUGGCUACAAGACUUCUCACCACACAUUCCUAAGACCAGUAUAAUAGUCUUAUCAGCAUUGUUUAGUCAUUGGUAAUACAGAAUAAAGUAUGUCACUGGUGGAAUUGAUGUAGAUUUGUGACUAUUGUCUGGCGAUAACAUUGAAGAAGAGAGGAACUUCCUCAAGAUUAGAAGAGUCGAGGUUAAACAUAUUGUGAAGAAAGGGAAGGAAGUCGUCACAAAGACGGUUUAGUGUGGUCUUAGCAUCAGUAAUUGUGAUGGGUACUUUGGUUUAGCUGGAGAAAAUUAAGAGGAGUUUCAUUCACAUAAAUGUUGAAAGUUAGUGAAUGUAUUGCACAGUGGACUUGUGAAAGGUGUUCAUAUUCACACAAUAGGGUAUAGCCCUGUAUAUACCUUAUUUAUACGUACAUGUGGUGCGCAUACCUUUUGGACAAAUAUCUGAUGUAUUUCUUGGAAACCAUCACACUGUAGAUCUUGAAGUGUUUUGUAAGUCAAGAACACUGUAUUGUCCAACUUUUUAUUUUCACCCCGAGUGAGUGACGUGUAUGUUGUGAUGAUGACUUGUGAUUUAUCAGCUCCUGGAAGUUUUUUUUUUUAUGUAUGAAUGUGUACACGUGUUUAUAAUGUAUGUAUGGCCACUGGGUGAGUUGGAUUAGUUUACAUUUGUAUGAGCCAGACUGAUGUGGAAUGUUUAUAAGCAUAUUAAAGUAACAUGGAUCAUUACCAGAGCUUUUGCCCCAGUACUGACUACUGUGGCAAUACCCAUUUCAAGUUGAAAUGUGCAACUUAAGAGUUUGUUGUAUUUCACCACGAGGUAGUUGGCGACUUCUGCUCGGACUUGUGUUCAGCCCCGGGAAUAUGUACUUACAACCCCCUUCCCCCUCUGCUCUCAUCAAAGUCCCUCAGUGCCAGAUCCUUAGUGUUCCAUAAUAUACUGACCCUCAACAAUCCUACCCAUAACUUAGAAUGUAAACACAUGACUGGUUUAGAGUAACAUUAGUGUUCAGAAAAGGUUGUUGUUGCAAAUUGUAGGAUGAAAUACAAUUUGUUUGUCUCCAGCUCUGUUCUCAUUUUGGCCCAUAAAUGUAUUUUGACGACGACCUACAAUUUUUUUUUCGGCGAACGAGUUCUCACACCAUGAAUCCUAACCACUGUAUAAGUGAGUACUGUAAUUAAGCAGUGAUGAGAUGGUUUCAGUGUGGCUUCAAGUUGUCCUCCUUAUGCGAGGAAGAAAAGUGGUACGAGUCAAAAUGAAACAUCUCUGAUAAGCACAGUUGCCGAUCCCAUCGUAAAAGUUCCGUACCGUAGAAUAGCCCCGCGUCUCGUAAGCCGACCCUUCAUAUAGUAUUCCAGUAGAAAAAUGCCACAAAAACUUUUUCACAAAUUGAGGACUAUCAGGGUAAUAUGAGUGCAAAGAUGAUGAAGAAAAUGAAUGGUGGUAAUUUCUCUGCAGGAAUAUUGCUGGCUUGCAAUUUAGUUUCACUCACUCCGCUGGUGUGAGAAUAUUUAUGUGUUAUACAGAAUAGCUGCAAAUGACCACCACCCACACACAGUUUUAUUAAUGGGGAAAGUGACACAAUAUCCUUACCCCUGCAAUGCCAACAACCCCAUACUCAUCACAUGACUACUCCAUCUUAUGUACUGUACCCAAUAGUAGCAAAGGUUACUAUGUGAACAUAGUGACGACGAAGUCGCUUUGCCGUUUGAGACAGAAGUACAGAGGAUCAAGAAAUGUCGUUUCUGUAAAUGCGUACCAUAUUUAUAAUUUAUCGUCCUCACUGAUUCCGUAUUUGCCAAAAGGAAAUAUUUUAUAAUUGACUUUUGUACAUAAUAAAGUUACUGUAAUCUGUAAAAAAACCAUUUUAUUUCAAGUCCUGCAUUGUGUAAAUUAGUCCAAAACUGAUAAUGUUCAUCAUGUGUACCUACAGUUGUGUUGUGUAGUGUAGUAGGUAGUAGGCAGCUACCAAACAGGGAGGUACUACCGC
Long non-coding RNA from Homarus americanus (American lobster), 2461 nucleotides. RefSeq lists it as uncharacterized. The record is from RefSeq and is a predicted model, not a curated record. Lineage: Eukaryota; Metazoa; Arthropoda; Malacostraca; Decapoda; Nephropidae. The transcript has 4 exons.